UACGUAGGGUGCAAGCGUUAAUCGGAAUUACUGGGCGUAAAGCGUGCGCAGGCGGUUUUCCAAGACAGAUGUGAAAUCCCCGGGCUCAACCUGGGAUGGCAUUUGUGACUGGAAGGCUAGAGUGUGUCAGAGGGGGGUAGAAUUCCACGUGUAGCAGUGAAUGCGUAGAGAUGUGGAGGAAUACCGAUGGCGAAGGCAGCCCCCUGGGAUAACACUGACGCUCAUGCACGAAAGCGUGGGGAGCAAACAGG
Molecule: ribosomal RNA, 251 nt
Filed under: uncultured bacterium
Lineage: Bacteria
Description: partial 16S ribosomal RNA
Rfam family: Bacterial small subunit ribosomal RNA
Source: RNAcentral